CCUUCCCGUUAAACCAUGAUGAUAUAGAUGGACCUCAGCAGAUGGAGGAGCACGUGAGCACCACAUAGCUCACGGGGAGGAAGCUGGAAGAACACUUAGGAUUCUCAGCAGGCGGUCUGCAUGCCACAGACUCUUGGGGACACAGAUCCAUGUAUGAGCCUUGGCAGGUCGCAGGAGAACCAUAGAGCUGCCUCAGCAGCUCUUUCUCCAGCAAUGGAGGGCAAGGAGAAAGGGGGCUGAUGGAGAACACCCUGCGCACUCUGGUCUGACUCUGGUGACUGCAGUGACAGUGAGCAGGAUCAGGAAUGGGUCCUACUUGGGAAGCUGAGGGUCACAGUCGUCAGACCUGCCCUACCUCGCACGCCUGUCUGAAGCAGGAGUUCAAGUGUGUGGUGAGUGCUCCAGCAAAGAGCCAGCCGAGUUGACUGAGCAGCUCAAAUGCCAGCCUGGGAAUGAGGGGAGUGAAGUCAGAGGCCAGUGAUGUGGGAAGACCCUCCACAGGGCCUAUUACAUGUCUGUCUCUGAAGGUCAAUCUCUGCAAAGCAGCAUGUGGAGACAUCUCUGGGUACAGAUGUCAAGCGUCUCCAGCUCUGAAGGUCAGGCCAGAAGCUGCCCACCGUGCUGCAGGAGGACUCGGAGGGGACAAGAGGCCUCAACUUAACAGAUGAGGAAAGGAUGGGAGAGGGCAGGUGGCUCGCAAAGAUUGGCGUGCCUUGCAGAACAUGCUCCAUGGGCUUGGAGGCAGGUCUGUCCUGGCAUCCUUUGCUCUCCAGCUAAUCCCUGGCCUGGUCCCACACAUCCUGAGGCCAUACCCAGAAGGG
This is a non-coding RNA of Castor canadensis (American beaver), 821 nucleotides long. NCBI's taxonomy places the organism in Eukaryota, Metazoa, Chordata, Mammalia, Rodentia, Castoridae. The record is from RefSeq and is a predicted model, not a curated record.